GGUCCUUUCAGGUUUAAGUCAAUAUCAGGCAUGGAGAUCUUGGGGGCUUUGAUAUUCAUCUCUGGCAUCUUGAACUUAGGCCCUUUCAACUUUCCCUCUGGGCCUUCAAUGUCCACUUUGGGUCCUGAGACAUCAAUGUCAGCCUUGGGCAGCUUCACAUCCCCAUCUGGGCCCUCUCCUUUGAAGCCAGGCAUGCUGAACUUUGGCAUUUUCACCUUGGGCAUCUUCAGGUGCCAGUCUGGGCCUUGAACCUCCACAUCUGGGGCAUCAAUGUCCAUUUUGGGUCCUUUGAUUUCAACAUCUGGCACUUUCAUUUCACCUUCUAC
Molecule: long non-coding RNA, 326 nt
Filed under: Homo sapiens (human)
Lineage: Eukaryota; Metazoa; Chordata; Mammalia; Primates; Hominidae
Description: HSALNT0176187
Source: RNAcentral